Molecule: ribosomal RNA, 504 nt
Filed under: uncultured bacterium
Lineage: Bacteria
Description: partial 16S ribosomal RNA
Rfam family: Bacterial small subunit ribosomal RNA
Source: RNAcentral
AUUGAACGCUGGCGGCAUGCCUUACACAUGCAAGUCGAACGGCAGCAUGGAGAGCUUGCUCUCUGAUGGCGAGUGGCGAACGGGUGAGUAAAGCAUCGGAACGUACCGUGUAGUGGGGGAUAACGUAGCGAAAGUUACGCUAAUACCGCAUACGCACUGAGGUGGAAAGCAGGGGAUCGUAAGACCUUGCGCUAUACGAGCGGCCGAUGGCAGAUUAGCUAGUUGGUAGGGUAAAGGCCUACCAAGGCGACGAUCUGUAGCGGGUCUGAGAGGAUUAUCCGCCACACUGGGACUGAGACACGGCCCAGACUCCUACGGGAGGCAGCAGUGGGGAAUUUUGGACAAUGGGGGCAACCCUGAUCCAGCCAUGCCGCGUGAGUGAAGAAGGCCUUCGGGUUGUAAAGCUCUUUCGGCCGGGAAGAAAUCGCACAGGCUAAUACCCUGUGUGGAUGACGGUACCGGCAUAAGAAGCACCGGCUAACUACGUGCCAGCCGCCGCAGUAA